RNAcentral lists this ribosomal RNA (363 nucleotides) under uncultured fungus. RNAcentral's name for it is "eukaryotic LSU rRNA". It matches the Rfam family "Eukaryotic large subunit ribosomal RNA", at positions 40 to 398 of the family's 3401-position model. The record is from RNAcentral. Lineage: Eukaryota; Fungi.
AUAUCAAUAAGCGGAGGAAAAGAAACCAACAGGGAUUGCCUCAGUAACUGCGAGUGAAGCGGCAAAAGCUCAAAUUUGAAAUCUGGUACCUUUGGGUGCUCGAGUUGUAAUUUGGAGAGGCAACUUCGGAGGAGGCGCUGGCCUAAGUUCCUUGGAACAGGACGUCACAGAGGGUGAGAAUCCCGUGCUUGGCUGGCUGUCCUCCUUCAUGUGAAGUGUCUUCGACGAGUCGAGUUGUUUGGGAAUGCAGCUCAAAAUGGGUGGUAAACUCCAUCUAAGGCUAAAUAUUGGCGAGAGACCGAUAGCGCACAAGUAGAGUGAUCGAAAGAUGAAAAGCACUUUGAAAAGAGAGUUAAACAGUAC